This 255-nucleotide ribosomal RNA is filed under the name uncultured bacterium. RNAcentral describes it as "partial 16S ribosomal RNA". It matches the Rfam family "Bacterial small subunit ribosomal RNA", at positions 15 to 279 of the family's 1533-position model. The record is from RNAcentral.
GUUCCUGGCUCAGGAUGAACGCUGGCGGCGUGCCUAACACAUGCAAGUCGAGCGAACUUCUUCGGAAGUGAGCGGCGGACGGGUGAGUAACGCGUGGGUAACCUGCCCUAUACACACGGAUAACGUACCGAAAGGUACGCUAAUACGAGAUAACAUAUUUUAUCGCAUGGUAAGAAUAUCAAAGCUCUGGCGGUAUAGGAUGGACCCGCGUCUAGAUUAGCUAGUUGGUAAGGUAACGGCUUACCAAGGCGACGA